RNAcentral lists this ribosomal RNA (487 nucleotides) under uncultured bacterium. Its description in RNAcentral is "bacterial SSU rRNA". It matches the Rfam family "Bacterial small subunit ribosomal RNA", at positions 30 to 517 of the family's 1533-position model. The record is from RNAcentral.
AUUGAACGCUGGCGGAAUGCUUUACACAUGCAAGUCGAACGGUAGAGGGGGCAACCCCUUGAGAGUGGCGAACGGGUGAGUAAUAUAUCGGAACGUGCCCAGUCGUGGGGAUAACGUAGCGAAAGUUACGCUAAUACCGCAUACGAUCUAAGGAUGAAAGCGGGGGAUCGCAAGACCUCGCGCGAUUGGAGCGGCCGAUAUCAGAUUAGGUAGUUGGUGAGGUAAAGGCUCACCAAGCCAACGAUCUGUAGCUGGUCUGAGAGGACGACCAGCCACACUGGAACUGAGACACGGUCCAGACUCCUACGGGAGGCAGCAGUGGGGAAUUUUGGACAAUGGACGCAAGUCUGAUCCAGCCAUUCCGCGUGCAGGAUGAAGGCCCUCGGGUUGUAAACUGCUUUGUACGGAACGAAAGGUUUGUCUUAAUACGAUGAGCUCAUGACGGUACCGUAAGAAUAAGCACCGGCUAACUACGUGCCAGCAGCCG